This 419-nucleotide ribosomal RNA is filed under the name bacterium. RNAcentral describes it as "partial 16S ribosomal RNA". It matches the Rfam family "Bacterial small subunit ribosomal RNA", at positions 355 to 776 of the family's 1533-position model. The record is from RNAcentral.
CGGGGGGUAUUGCACAAUGGGCGAAAGCCUGAUGCAGCGACGCCGCGUGGGGGAUGAAGGCCUUCGGGUUGUAAACUUCUUUUGCUCUGAACAAGGCGCACCAUGGGGUGUGUUGAGUGUAGGGGUUGAUUAGCGCCGGCUAACUACGUGCCAGCAGCCGCGGUAAUACGUAGGGCGCGAGCGUUGUCCGGAAUUAUUGGGCGUAAAGGGCUUGUAGGUGGCUGGUUGCGUCUGUCGUGAAAGCUCAUGGCUUAACUGUGGGUUUGCGGUGGGUACGGGCUGGCUUGAGUGCAGUAGUGGAGGCUGGAAUUCCUGGUGUAGCGGUGGAAUGCGCAGAUAUCAGGAGGAAUACCGGUGGCGAAGGCGGGUCUCUGGGCUGUUACUGACACUGAGGAGCGAAAGCAUGGGGAGCGAACAGG